RNAcentral lists this small RNA (672 nucleotides) under Pongo abelii (Sumatran orangutan). RNAcentral's name for it is "retained intron". Lineage: Eukaryota; Metazoa; Chordata; Mammalia; Primates; Hominidae. The record is from RNAcentral.
AAAAGAAUCACUCAUUUAUCGAGCGUUUACUAUGUGCCGGAUGCUGUCCUGAGCACUUUGCAUGUAUGUGCACAUGUUCAUUAUAUAGCAGCUCACUGUAAGCACAUCUUACAGAAGAGUGUACUUGGCCACCUGAGUGGUUCCUGGCUGCUUCUGUGAUUGUUAGGUCUUGAGAGAUUAUGGAAUCGAGGCAUUCUGGGUACCCCGUCAAUUGGCUGAUGGUCUUUUAUCUGGGCUGUGCUUCUUCUAUAAAGGGGAGCUCAAAGGUCUUUUUUUUUCCCCACUGCAGAGCUAAAAAAGUCCCUGUACGCCAUCUUCUCCCAGUUUGGCCAGAUCCUGGAUAUCCUGGUAUCACGGAGCCUGAAGAUGAGGGGCCAGGCCUUUGUCAUCUUCAAGGAGGUCAGCAGCGCCACCAACGCCCUGCGCUCCAUGCAGGGUUUCCCCUUCUAUGACAAGCCUAUGCGUAUCCAGUAUGCCAAGACCGACUCAGAUAUCAUUGCCAAGAUGAAAGGCACCUUCGUGGAGCGGGACCGCAAGCGGGAGAAGAGGAAGCCCAAGAGCCAGGAGACCCCGGCCACCAAGAAGGCUGUGCAAGGCGGGGGAGCCGCCCCCGUGGUGGGGGCCGUCCAGGGGCCUGUCCCGGUAAGCCAGGUCCCGGAGACCAACCCUCCC